GAAAGAUCUUCUCUGGGAAGCUCCUGCAGAGGGCUAGCUAUAGCCCCUCACUGGGCCCGUCUGAACCCUGGCAACUGGAGGAGCCACUGGAGGUGACUGGCCCAGCUGACCACAGAGAAUCUGAUGUCUUGUGGGAGACCCCAAUGUAGACACUGAACAGUGCAACAGCAGAAACUCGGAAGAAACUUGGUGGUGCCACAUGCAAACUGCUCUCCAAAGCUCUAGAGUCAAUUGUCAGUCUCUUCUCUGGCUAAGAAGAAUAAAGUAUACAGAGUGGACUGAUUUAAAUUAAAGCAAUUUCAAUAAAAUGUAACUUAAAUCGUU
Molecule: long non-coding RNA, 324 nt
Organism: Mauremys reevesii (Reeves's turtle)
Lineage: Eukaryota; Metazoa; Chordata; Testudines; Geoemydidae
Exons: 2
Source: RefSeq, a predicted model, not a curated record